GAUGAAGAACGCAGCGAAAUGCGAUAAGUAAUGUGAAUUGCAGAAUUCAGUGAAUCAUCGAAUCUUUGAACGCAUCUUGCGCUCCUUGGUAUUCCGAGGAGCAUGCCUGUUUGAGUGUCAUUUAACUUCUCAACCACAUUAGAUAUUUUUUUUCCGAUGCCGGCUUGGAUGUGGGGGUUGUUUGCAGGCUUUUUGUAACAAAAAAGGUCGGCUCCCCUGAAAUGUAUUAGUGGUAUCUGAGGCUAUUACUAUUAGGUGUGAUAAUUAUCUAUGCCUUUUGGGUAUGCCGCAUGAACAGAUUAUGCUGCUUCUAACGAAAACUAUUUUGAUGAAUUUGACCUCAAAUCAGGUAGGACUACCCGCUGAACUUAAGCAUAUCAAUAAGCGGAGGA
This 392-nucleotide unclassified non-coding RNA is filed under the name soil metagenome. RNAcentral's name for it is "partial contains 5.8S ribosomal RNA, internal transcribed spacer 2, and large subunit ribosomal RNA". The stretch from base 1 to 120 matches the Rfam family "5.8S ribosomal RNA", at positions 35 to 154 of the family's 154-position model. The record is from RNAcentral.